RNAcentral lists this ribosomal RNA (544 nucleotides) under uncultured bacterium. Its description in RNAcentral is "bacterial SSU rRNA". It matches the Rfam family "Bacterial small subunit ribosomal RNA", at positions 773 to 1313 of the family's 1533-position model. The record is from RNAcentral.
ACGUAAUAGAUACCCGGGUAGUCCACGCCCUAAACGAUGUCUACUAGUUGUUGGUGGAGUAAAAUCCAUGAGUAAACGCAGCUAAACGCGUGAAGUAGACCGCCUGGGGAGUACGGUCGCAAGAUUAAAACUCAAAUGAAUUGACGGGGGCCCGCACAAGCGGUGGAUUAUGUGGAUUAAAUUCGAUGCAACGCGAAAAACCUUACCUGGCCUUGACAUGUAACGAACUUUCCAGAGAUGAAUUGGUGCUCGAAAGAGAACGUUAACACAGGUGCUGCAUGGCUGUCGUCAGCUCGUGUCGUGAGAUGUUGGGUUAAGUCCCGCAACGAGCGCAACCCUUGCCAUUAAUUGCCAUCAUUUAGUUGGGCACUUUAAUGGGACUGCCGGUGACAAACCGGAGGAAGGUGGGGAUGACGUCAAGUCCUCAUGGCCCUUAUGGCCAGGGCUUCACACGUAAUACAAUGGUCGGUACAGAGAGUUGCCAACCCGCGAGGGGAGCCAAUCUCAGAAAGCCGAUCGUAGUCCGGAUUGUAGUCUGCAACUC